Molecule: ribosomal RNA, 358 nt
Filed under: Escherichia coli
Lineage: Bacteria; Pseudomonadati; Pseudomonadota; Gammaproteobacteria; Enterobacterales; Enterobacteriaceae
Description: bacterial SSU rRNA
Rfam family: Bacterial small subunit ribosomal RNA
Source: RNAcentral
GGGAUGACGUCAAGUCAUCAUGGCCCUUACGACCAGGGCUACACACGUGCUACAAUGGCGCAUACAAAGAGAAGCGAACUCGCGAGAGCAAGCGGACCUCAUAAAGUGCGUCGUAGUCCGGAUUGGAGUCUGCAACUCGACUCCAUGAAGUCGGAAUCGCUAGUAAUCGUGGAUCAGAAUGCCACGGUGAAUACGUUCCCGGGCCUUGUACACACCGCCCGUCACACCAUGGGAGUGGGUUGCAAAAGAAGUAGGUAGCUUAACCUUCGGGAGGGCGCUUACCACUUUGUGAUUCAUGACUGGGGUGAAGUCGUAACAAGGUAACCGUAGGGGAACCUGCGGUUGGAUCACCUCCUUA